GUGGGGAAUAUUGGACAAUGGGGGGAACCCUGAUCCAGCCAUGCCGCGUGUGUGAAGAAGGCCUUUUGGUUGUAAAGCACUUUAAGCGAGGAGGAGGCUACCGAGAUUAAUACUCUUGGAUAGUGGACGUUACUCGCAGAAUAAGCACCGGCUAACUCUGUGCCAGCAGCCGCGGUAAUACAGAGGGUGCAAGCGUUAAUCGGAUUUACUGGGCGUAAAGCGCGCGUAGGUGGCCAAUUAAGUCAAAUGUGAAAUCCCCGAGCUUAACUUGGGAAUUGCAUUCGAUACUGGGAAGCUAGAGUAUGGGAGAGGAUGGUAGAAUUCCAGGUGUAGCGGUGAAAUGCGUAGAGAUCUGGAGGAAUACCGAUGGCGAAGGCAGCCAUCUGGCCUAAUACUGACGCUGAGGUACGAAAGCAUGGGGAGCAAACAGGAUUAGAUACCCGAGUAGUCC
This 451-nucleotide ribosomal RNA is filed under the name uncultured bacterium. RNAcentral describes it as "bacterial SSU rRNA". It matches the Rfam family "Bacterial small subunit ribosomal RNA", at positions 354 to 796 of the family's 1533-position model. The record is from RNAcentral.